This is a long non-coding RNA of Triticum aestivum (bread wheat), 2392 nucleotides long. RefSeq lists it as uncharacterized. The record is from RefSeq and is a predicted model, not a curated record. The transcript is spliced from 3 exons. NCBI's taxonomy places the organism in Eukaryota, Viridiplantae, Streptophyta, Magnoliopsida, Poales, Poaceae.
CAGAAGCAUUCACUUCGGCCGUUCCCCAUUCAUCUUCUGCUGUUCCCCAUUGCUCUUGGCAGUUGGUGCUCGAGGCGCAGCGAUUUCUGGAGAGGGAGAAGGAGAGGGAGACGCCACCGAUAGCGGCGGCUAUUUUGUUGGGAGUAGAAGGGAAGGGGAGGAGAGCGGCAGUCAGGGUGACUGAACACAGGGUUCUGCAUUGAACUGCCCGUUUUUUAACUUUUUGUAGGGGGCUUUCUGCAAGAUGUCGAAAACAACAACAACUCUCCGAUGAUUAUCCACAUUUACAGAUUUUUUUUUUGUCUGAGCACUGUUUGAAUCGGUGGAGCAGAGGAGGAGGAAGAGAUGGGGGCGACAAGCUCGAAGCCCAUGGCGACCGAGAUCGCGGCGACGAGCCCCCCGCUGCGCACCUCUGCUCGAAGCAGGAGGCACCCGCUGUGAACACGGCGGGCAAGCGCUGCGCGGCUGUCGAGGCCUGCGGCAUCCACACCGCCGAUGACCUCUGCGCCGCCGACAAGCCACCAAAGUUCGGCCCUGCUCGCGAGUUGUGUGCGGCCGACGGGAUCCUCGGUCUCGACACCGUCCCGGAGUUCUCCGCAGCCAAUUAUCAACAAGUGGGAGUGAGUACUUCAUUUCCCCUCUCUUUCUGAAUACGUCCGUGCUUUGUGUUUGUGCGACGUGCUCAAAAUUGCUGCCGCACACAUCGAUUUUCGUGCUCUGGGUGUCCGCACGUAGAUAUGUACGUUGUUUCUGUAGCCCUUGUGGCCCUGAUUUUUCCCGUGAGGGUCGUUGCCCCCGUGCCUUUGUUGCCCUACGUUCGCGCUAGCCAGAUUUUUGUAAUUCGGUGAUGUGAUUUGUUAGGGUUAUUGUUGCAUAGGUACCAGAGUUGGGGAUGCACAAUGAAUCCAGAGCAAACGAGCCCUCACCAGAUAGUUGUUUUUCAUUCUUCAGUAUACAUGUUCAGAGAGCAUGCAUUAUGUUUUUUCAGUUUUUGUAAUAGUUCCCAGUGUACAUGUUCAGGGUUCAUAGAACAUGCAUCCUGUGCUAAUAACACUUUGUGCUAACUAUGUGCUUUCUGAAGUGAAGCUUCUUUUUUAGGGAUAUGUGUUUUCUGAAGCUAGAUCAUACUGUCCUUUGGGUCAAACAUAAUGUUGUCUGUGUGUUCUUGUACCUAUGGCCUGUCAAACAAACAAACAAGCCCAACAAAGAAAGGUCCAGGGGGCGGGCGGUAGUUAGGCUGGAAGGGGUGGGCUGCCCACAUACAAACAAACAGGCUGCCACAAACAAACAGGAGGUGAUCGGAAGCAACGACGCUGGUUGUUUUUGUCAACUGAUGGGUACAGAUUAUGGAAUGAUGUCAGAUUAGAUGUAUCUCACAUCUAGAUGUGACAUAGACAGACCCAAUUUUUAUACGUCUGAUAAGCCACCAUAUUAAGAAAUCAAAAACGGAGGGUGAGGAGUCGAUCAGUUUGCCCACAAAUAUGAGCAGGAAGAAGGAAAGAAACUAAAGCAUACCUUCAUUUAAAUUGUUUGUGCAAUUUUAAGAAAAGUGUUCAUGUAUUAAAAUAAUAUUCAUCUAAUUUUAAAAAUAGUCACACUUUUCUAAAAAAAAAUCAUGUAAUUCUAAAAAAUGUUCACGUGCUUAAAAAUAUAUUCGUAAUUUUAUAAAUAUUCAUGCUCUUUAGAAAAUUUCAUCUAAUUUAGAAAGUGUGUUUAUGUGUGUUUUAGAAAGAAGGUUGAUGCAUUUUGGAAAGUAAAAUUUAAAAGUGAGUGGGUGUAUGAGGGGUGGUGUAUGGACUAGGUGUAGAUCCUAGCUCUCCGUCAUGUCCAGCUCCACGAUAAUGGAGUAGUUUUGAAAUUUCAGACGCAUAAACACAUCUGUCAUUGCAAGUACGGGCUGUGUGCAAUACAUUAUAAUUAGGCGUGGUAGUUAGUUUGCUUCUGAAGUUUCCGCCUCCUAAGUCACGUGUUGCGACAGGAGUCCCGCAUUUUUUGGCAAGUUAUGCAAUCAUGCUAAAUCAAAUCUGAAUGGGUCUGUCUAGGUCUCAGUCGUCUAAGUCGACUGAUGUCACCUAAGGCAGAUUAGGCCUGUUUGUUUACUCGAUAGUUGCUGGGUUUUAUUCUUAGCUGGGCCUUUUUCGUUUCUCUCUUGUUUGUUUGUUUGUUUAUUGGGUUGGGCUGGGCUGAUUGUUUCUGUUGGAAGAUGCCCGUCGCCUGUAUAACAGAGGGACCGUGUCCCACGCCAUGUACAUGAUCUGUAACUGCACGCCGUGCUCCACUCCUAUGUGCACGUUGUGCAUGCCCGUACAUAGCUAGCUUCCUGUUAUGAUGUACUAUGUAUAAAUCCCCUUUGUGGGCUCAUUGAAUAGACAAGCCAAGUUUCUAUUCUCCA